Molecule: ribosomal RNA, 2902 nt
Filed under: Escherichia coli HVH 193 (4-3331423)
Lineage: Bacteria; Pseudomonadati; Pseudomonadota; Gammaproteobacteria; Enterobacterales; Enterobacteriaceae
Description: bacterial LSU rRNA
Rfam family: Bacterial large subunit ribosomal RNA
Source: RNAcentral
UUAAGCGACUAAGCGUACACGGUGGAUGCCCUGGCAGUCAGAGGCGAUGAAGGACGUGCUAAUCUGCGAUAAGCGUCGGUGAGGUGAUAUGAACCGUUAUAACCGGCGAUUUCCGAAUGGGGAAACCCAGUGUGUUUCGACACACUAUCAUUAACUGAAUCCAUAGGUUAAUGAGGCGAACCGGGGGAACUGAAACAUCUAAGUACCCCGAGGAAAAGAAAUCAACCGAGAUUCCCCCAGUAGCGGCGAGCGAACGGGGAGGAGCCCAGAGCCUGAAUCAGUGUGUGUGUUAGUGGAAGCGUCUGGAAAGGCGCGCGAUACAGGGUGACAGCCCCGUACACAAAAAUGCACAUACUGUGAGCUCGAUGAGUAGGGCGGGACACGUGGUAUCCUGUCUGAAUAUGGGGGGACCAUCCUCCAAGGCUAAAUACUCCUGACUGACCGAUAGUGAACCAGUACCGUGAGGGAAAGGCGAAAAGAACCCCGGCGAGGGGAGUGAAAAAGAACCUGAAACCGUGUACGUACAAGCAGUGGGAGCCUCUUAAUGGGGUGACUGCGUACCUUUUGUAUAAUGGGUCAGCGACUUAUAUUCUGUAGCAAGGUUAACCGAAUAGGGGAGCCGAAGGGAAACCGAGUCUUAACUGGGCGUUAAGUUGCAGGGUAUAGACCCGAAACCCGGUGAUCUAGCCAUGGGCAGGUUGAAGGUUGGGUAACACUAACUGGAGGACCGAACCGACUAAUGUUGAAAAAUUAGCGGAUGACUUGUGGCUGGGGGUGAAAGGCCAAUCAAACCGGGAGAUAGCUGGUUCUCCCCGAAAGCUAUUUAGGUAGCGCCUCGUGAAUUCAUCUCCGGGGGUAGAGCACUGUUUCGGCAAGGGGGUCAUCCCGACUUACCAACCCGAUGCAAACUGCGAAUACCGGAGAAUGUUAUCACGGGAGACACACGGCGGGUGCUAACGUCCGUCGUGAAGAGGGAAACAACCCAGACCGCCAGCUAAGGUCCCAAAGUCAUGGUUAAGUGGGAAACGAUGUGGGAAGGCCCAGACAGCCAGGAUGUUGGCUUAGAAGCAGCCAUCAUUUAAAGAAAGCGUAAUAGCUCACUGGUCGAGUCGGCCUGCGCGGAAGAUGUAACGGGGCUAAACCAUGCACCGAAGCUGCGGCAGCGACACUAUGUGUUGUUGGGUAGGGGAGCGUUCUGUAAGCCUGCGAAGGUGUGCUGUGAGGCAUGCUGGAGGUAUCAGAAGUGCGAAUGCUGACAUAAGUAACGAUAAAGCGGGUGAAAAGCCCGCUCGCCGGAAGACCAAGGGUUCCUGUCCAACGUUAAUCGGGGCAGGGUGAGUCGACCCCUAAGGCGAGGCCGAAAGGCGUAGUCGAUGGGAAACAGGUUAAUAUUCCUGUACUUGGUGUUACUGCGAAGGGGGGACGGAGAAGGCUAUGUUGGCCGGGCGACGGUUGUCCCGGUUUAAGCGUGUAGGCUGGUUUUCCAGGCAAAUCCGGAAAACCAAGGCUGAGGCGUGAUGACGAGGCACUACGGUGCUGAAGCGACAAAUGCCCUGCUUCCAGGAAAAGCCUCUAAGCAUCAGGUAACAUCAAAUCGUACCCCAAACCGACACAGGUGGUCAGGUAGAGAAUACCAAGGCGCUUGAGAGAACUCGGGUGAAGGAACUAGGCAAAAUGGUGCCGUAACUUCGGGAGAAGGCACGCUGAUAUGUAGGUGAAGCGACUUGCUCGUGGAGCUGAAAUCAGUCGAAGAUACCAGCUGGCUGCAACUGUUUAUUAAAAACACAGCACUGUGCAAACACGAAAGUGGACGUAUACGGUGUGACGCCUGCCCGGUGCCGGAAGGUUAAUUGAUGGGGUUAGCGGUAACGCGAAGCUCUUGAUCGAAGCCCCGGUAAACGGCGGCCGUAACUAUAACGGUCCUAAGGUAGCGAAAUUCCUUGUCGGGUAAGUUCCGACCUGCACGAAUGGCGUAAUGAUGGCCAGGCUGUCUCCACCCGAGACUCAGUGAAAUUGAACUCGCUGUGAAGAUGCAGUGUACCCGCGGCAAGACGGAAAGACCCCGUGAACCUUUACUAUAGCUUGACACUGAACAUUGAGCCUUGAUGUGUAGGAUAGGUGGGAGGCUUUGAAGUGUGGACGCCAGUCUGCAUGGAGCCGACCUUGAAAUACCACCCUUUAAUGUUUGAUGUUCUAACGUUGGCCCGUAAUCCGGGUUGCGGACAGUGUCUGGUGGGUAGUUUGACUGGGGCGGUCUCCUCCUAAAGAGUAACGGAGGAGCACGAAGGUUGGCUAAUCCUGGUCGGACAUCAGGAGGUUAGUGCAAUGGCAUAAGCCAGCUUGACUGCGAGCGUGACGGCGCGAGCAGGUGCGAAAGCAGGUCAUAGUGAUCCGGUGGUUCUGAAUGGAAGGGCCAUCGCUCAACGGAUAAAAGGUACUCCGGGGAUAACAGGCUGAUACCGCCCAAGAGUUCAUAUCGACGGCGGUGUUUGGCACCUCGAUGUCGGCUCAUCACAUCCUGGGGCUGAAGUAGGUCCCAAGGGUAUGGCUGUUCGCCAUUUAAAGUGGUACGCGAGCUGGGUUUAGAACGUCGUGAGACAGUUCGGUCCCUAUCUGCCGUGGGCGCUGGAGAACUGAGGGGGGCUGCUCCUAGUACGAGAGGACCGGAGUGGACGCAUCACUGGUGUUCGGGUUGUCAUGCCAAUGGCACUGCCCGGUAGCUAAAUGCGGAAGAGAUAAGUGCUGAAAGCAUCUAAGCACGAAACUUGCCCCGAGAUGAGUUCUCCCUGAGACUUAGAGUCUCCUGAAGGAACGUUGAAGACGACGACGUUGAUAGGCCGGGUGUGUAAGCGCAGCGAUGCGUUGAGCUAACCGGUACUAAUGAACCGUGAGGCUUAACCUU